RNAcentral lists this ribosomal RNA (253 nucleotides) under uncultured bacterium. RNAcentral describes it as "partial 16S ribosomal RNA". It matches the Rfam family "Bacterial small subunit ribosomal RNA", at positions 524 to 776 of the family's 1533-position model. The record is from RNAcentral.
UACGAAGGGGGCUAGCGUUGCUCGGAAUCACUGGGCGUAAAGGGUGCGUAGGUGGUUCUUUAAGUCAGAGGUGAAAUCCUGGAGCUCAACUCCAGAACUGCCUUUGAUACUGAGGAUCUUGAGUUCGGGAGAGGUGAGUGGAACUGCGAGUGUAGAGGUGAAAUUCGUAGAUAUUCGCAAGAACACCAGUGGCGAAGGCGGCUCACUGGCCCGAUACUGACACUGAGGCACGAAAGCGUGGGGAGCAAACAGG